Molecule: long non-coding RNA, 522 nt
Organism: Camellia sinensis
Lineage: Eukaryota; Viridiplantae; Streptophyta; Magnoliopsida; Ericales; Theaceae
Source: RefSeq, a predicted model, not a curated record
AAUGACUUUCCUUUUCUUUCAUUUUAUUUGAUCUUGAACUUCUGUUUCGUGCCUCAUUCUCUUAUUGAUGAAUAAACUCAACUUGACUAGGGUUUUAUUAUGUUAUAUUUGUAAUUGAUUGACAAAUUAAUUUCAAAAGCUCUUAAACAUUUUGCCAAACAAUCUUAAGAAAUUGGGCCAGUGUUUGCAAUAUAUACCAGGAGUCUUUUGUUUCUCAUGAUCAAGUUAUUAGUUGUCAUUUGUCAAGUAAAUACAUUAUACUCUAAUCAUUCAGCAAAGUUUUAGCUAACAUGGGGUUGUUGCCUUUGCUGUAGCUAGUUCUUUCUUGGCACAUGAAGGCAGCCACUAUGUGUGAAUUUUCCAAGCAGGAGUUCAUUGGUGGUUUGCAAGCUCUUGGGAUAGAUUCGCUGGAGAAAUUCCGCGAUCGUAUGCAAUUUAUGCGUUCUGAGCUGAAAGAUGAGCAAAAGUUUCGUGAGAUCUACAACUUUGCUUUUGGCUGGGCAAAAGAGAAGGCAUGCAUGC